Molecule: ribosomal RNA, 253 nt
Filed under: uncultured bacterium
Lineage: Bacteria
Description: partial 16S ribosomal RNA
Rfam family: Bacterial small subunit ribosomal RNA
Source: RNAcentral
UACGGAGGGAGCAAGCGUUACUCGGAAUUAUUGGGCGUAAAGGGCGCGUAGGCGGUCUGUCGCGUCGGAUGUGAAAACCCAGGGCUCAACCCUGGGCCUGCAUUCGAUACGGGCAGACUAGAGUUCGGUAGGGGAGACUGGAAUUCCCGGUGUAGUGGUGGAAUGCGUAGAUAUCGGGGGGAAUACCAGUGGCGAAAGCGGCACCCUGGCGUCGUACUGACGCUCAUGUGCGAAAGCGUGGGGAGCGAACGGG